UGUGUACUCCCUCCGUUCCAAAAUACUUGACUUCCAUUUGUCCAAAAAUGGAUGUACCUAUAUACUAAAACUUGUCUAGAUACAUCUGUAUUUUGACAAAUAGAAGGCAUGUAUUGUGGAACGGAGGGAGUAGAAU
Molecule: non-coding RNA, 136 nt
Organism: Triticum aestivum (bread wheat)
Lineage: Eukaryota; Viridiplantae; Streptophyta; Magnoliopsida; Poales; Poaceae
Source: Rfam